Molecule: long non-coding RNA, 2006 nt
Filed under: Nicotiana tabacum (common tobacco)
Lineage: Eukaryota; Viridiplantae; Streptophyta; Magnoliopsida; Solanales; Solanaceae
Description: long non-coding RNA (NTAB_LNC008666)
Source: RNAcentral
UAAAGAUUUCCAAAUUUUCCUUGCUUGCCUAGCUUCUACGAGUAGGCACCAUCACGACUCCCGAGGAUGGAAAAUCCGGGUCGUGACAAAAUACAAACACAUGCUAAUUGAAAGAGAGAGCUCAGAUACUAUUGACCUAUUUAAAAAUAAGCUAGCAAAGCAGAUACUUAAUCCUAACUAUAUGAGCUACUCUCCAAAUCCAGCGAAUCAUAAUGAAACCCGUGUAAACUAUUACAAUUGCUUAACAAGUUUUCAAACUACUGAGAACUAUGCAUGGAACAACUAAUGCUACAUGAUCAUUUAUAUGAAUACUAAGUCCAAAUUGACAUCCUUAUCCAACAGAUUUCAUGAAAAAAAUAGAAAAGUUAACCAACUAUAUUGUUUCUUAAUCGUUGCAAAAAACUAAGCAAGGCAUGCUAUACAUCUCCAUUUUUCAAUCAGGAGUUCAUGAGAGUACCUGGACAUCAAAGCAAAACAAAAUGUGAGGAUUUCAGCCAAAUAUUAGCGUAAGCAAAACAGCAAAACAACAGAAACCACAGCUUCCAAAACUAAACCAUGCUUCAGCCUUUUUGGAGUUCGAAAAUUUCAGAGAAUUUCUUCUAAUUUUCUUGUGAAAAUUAGGAAUGUUUUAGCUAAACAAUGCAGAACCUUUAGUGCAUAGAAUGAUGCUUCAAAAUCUCCGUGAGUGAAAGAAAAAGGCACAACAUAUAGGCCUCUCAGGCCAUGUGCUCAAAAACCAAUCAAGGAAAUAUUCCCCAGCCUGCAAAAGGCAUAUUUAACUGCCCGGGACAGCUGGCUGUCCCGUAUUGGCUCAGCAUAUUUAUGCUAACCAAAUAGGGACAGUUGCCCCCUUCUUUAGAAGCUUAUUGCACUAGCUUUAUCCAAACUUGAUUCUUACCCUUCCUAGACCCCUUAAGUUCUCCCUUAUAGUAUUGAACCCCCUAAACUUCCAUUUGUUCAUGAAUUAGACCUAAAAAACAAAAACCAAGACUGGCACAACUUGACCGAUUGAAAGGACCAAACAUUUAUGCAAUUAGCCCUUGAAUUAACUCUAAAUUUAAACAAUUUAUCAAUGAGAUGAGAUCAAAAAUGACACAACAUUUAAACAUUUGAAACCAACAUUAACAUGAAUUAACCAAUGAAUGAUUCAUUUUCUGAGGUUCGAACCCUUUGAACAAAUUAACAUUGCCAUUAACAGUGAAUCAAACUACCAUGAGAGAUUAACAUGCUGAUUUCAAAACGAACUUAACUAAACACAAACUAAACCAAUUUAGAUAAACACUAGCCAAGAAAACUGAACAUCUAAUGACUCUGAUGGGAAAUGCAUAAAUUAACCCUAAACUACUAACUAACAAUGAUGAUUUAGCACAAAAGUUAACAAACAAUUUUAAAACAUUAAAACCCUAAAUCAUGCAACUAUGAAUCGGAUCAAACACAACAAGAAAUCAAUCAAAGAAAAGAAAACAAAUGAGCCGUUACCUAUACCAAUUGGAACUUGGAGAAACUGGUCGGAACUUGGACAUGGCUAGGGCAGGUUUGAAAAAAUGAAUCAGACCCACAUGAAUCAAUUGCUCCUGUUGAGAUCAAAUGACUCAUGCGGGUAUGAACCAUUCAAAUUUCAGUAAAAGCUUAGGUUUUCUUAUUCUUCUUUUUUUCAGAUUUUUGAUUUGAAAUUGCUCCAGUUUGAAAGGCCUUUUGAGCAAAUCAACAGGAUAUUAGGGGUGAAAGGAAUGGGGAGAUGACCUAGUGAGGUUUUGGGUAGGUUUAGGCGAACUAGGGUUUUGGGUACUGAUCUUAGAUCUAAAAUUAGUGUGUUUUGAGAGGGAUUCGAGGGAAUUGAUUCUGGUAUUUGGAAAGAGGAGGAGGUGAAGAGUGUUUGAUGUGAAUUUGGAGUGAAUCGGAGCACCGGAACCGCUGUGAGGUAAUUUUCUGUGGGUGGACUAAGGCGGAGACGGUGGGGAUUUUAGGGGCGGUGGGUCUCUAGGGUUUGGAGGUUAGAGGCGGAC